AACGAACGCUGGCGGCAUGCCUAACACAUGCAAGUCGAACGAGACCUUCGGGUCUAGUGGCGCACGGGUGCGUAACGCGUGGGAACCUGCCCUUAGGUUCGGAAUAACUCCCCGAAAGGGGUGCUAAUACCGGAUAAUGUCUUCGGACCAAAGAUUUAUCGCCUUUGGAUGGGCCCGCGUUGGAUUAGCUAGUUGGUAGGGUAAAAGCCUACCAAGGCUACGAUCCAUAGCUGGUCUGAGAGGAUGAUCAGCCACACUGGGACUGAGACACGGCCCAGACUCCUACGGGAGGCAGCAGUGGGGAAUAUUGGACAAUGGGCGAAAGCCUGAACCAGCAAUGCCGCGUGAGUGAUGAAGGCCUUAGGGUUGUAAAGCUCUUUUACCCGGGAUGAUAAUGACAGUACCGGGAGAAUAAGCACCGGCUAACUCCGUG
This 433-nucleotide ribosomal RNA is filed under the name uncultured bacterium. RNAcentral describes it as "partial 16S ribosomal RNA". It matches the Rfam family "Bacterial small subunit ribosomal RNA", at positions 29 to 507 of the family's 1533-position model. The record is from RNAcentral.